CAGCCGCCGCGGGAAUACGGAGGGCGCGAGCGUUACCCGGAUUUACUGGGCGUAAAGGGCGUGUAGGCGGCCUGGGGCGUCCCAUGUGAAAGGCCACGGCUCAACCGUGGAGGAGCGUGGGAUACGCUCAGGCUAGAGGGUGGGAGAGGGUGGUGGUAUUCCCGGAGUAGCGGUGAAAUGCGCAGAUACCGGGAGGAACGCCGAUGGCGAAGGCAGCCACCUGGUCCACUUCUGACGCUGAGGCGCGAAAGCGUGGGGAGCAAACCGGAUUAGAUACCCGGGUAGUCCCUGUCUCUUAUAC
RNAcentral lists this ribosomal RNA (301 nucleotides) under uncultured bacterium. RNAcentral describes it as "partial 16S ribosomal RNA". It matches the Rfam family "Bacterial small subunit ribosomal RNA", at positions 509 to 807 of the family's 1533-position model. The record is from RNAcentral.